Molecule: RNA transcript, 1712 nt
Organism: Vigna radiata var. radiata (mung bean)
Lineage: Eukaryota; Viridiplantae; Streptophyta; Magnoliopsida; Fabales; Fabaceae
Exons: 5
Source: RefSeq, a predicted model, not a curated record
GAGACACACUAAGGCGGUGGUGAAGAUCACAUAGAAAACAACAGAAGUCUGUCUGUGUGCGCCUUGCAGAAGACCCAGAAACCACUUCAUGGCUUCUAAUUGAUUACAUUCAGGCUACAUUUCAUGCCCCUUUAUCAUCUUCAAUAAUUACUGAGAGGAAAUAAGCUUAUGUUGGAUCAUUCAUACUCACACAACUAUGACUAAUCACCUUGUUUUUUGUGCUUUUACUGUGCUUGCUCUUACUUGCUGUCUUCAGGUUCAAGCUCAUGCUUCUCCUUCAGGAUCAUUGAUCCAGCAUCUGUCUUCACUUCUCAAAUGGAGAAGGUCUAACUCCAAGACCCCUCAGUCAGAUGGAAAUGUUCUUCAAUUUGAGAAUGGUUAUGUAGUGUUGAAGGAAAUGAUAUUGGGGUCGUUCCUCAUAGGAUCCGUGUUUCUGCCGAAAAUGGUGAUUGCAAUUAUCAGUCUAGUUCAAUAUCUAUUACAGAUGUCCUCAUAGUUGUUGGUGCUGUUUUAGUAGGAUACGCUACAUGCAGGUUUCAGCAAGGAUUUGGAUUAUCUUUCUUCCUCAAAACACCACCAUCAAAAGGUGAAUUCAAAGGCCAAGACCAUAAGGAGGUGAAAAAAUGGCCAGCUUUUAGACAGCUUCUUUUGUAUCUUUCUAAUCUCUCCCUCAAAACAUUUAGUUCUUUCUUUCAAUUCACACCAUGGCAUUCCAAGUCUGAUAGCACCAAGAGAUGUUAAAAGAUCGUCUUAAGAUGCCAGAAGAUGAGGUAGAGGCCACCAUGGCAGAUAGGCAAAGGGCUUUUGAUUCAUUUCUUACUGAAACUAAGCAUGUUGAUACUCCAAGCACAGCUGAGAAAUAUUCAGAAAUGAGGCCUGCAAAGAUAAAAUCAAGCUCUUCCAAGGAUCCCUCUUUCUUAAGAAAGCACCAUUCAUCGAAAAAACAGGAGUAUGCUGAGUUCUAUGGAUCGACUGAGGUGCCAUCUUAUGCCAAAUCUAAGAGCCUUAAGCAAAGGUCUAAACAUCGGCAACAACGAGAAAAGGUUGGACAUGAUCUUUUGAAGGGUGUUGGAGCAGAGAAAAAACCAGCUAAGAUGAUGGGUUUCAAUCUGCAUUAACUGGGUUUACACCUUUUUCUUGGUUCACCAUUCUUUUACAAGAAUAUAUGAUGAAAUUGAAGCAAGAAAGAUAUAUUCUAACUUCUAACUAAAGUUUAUGACUUAGCCAAGCAUGCAUAUUGAAGAUGCGAUCAUACCAACAAUACACUGAUUCCAUAAGCAAUUAAGCUCAUAUGGGUUAGAGUAAUAAUAGAAUGGAUUGCCUCCUGAGAAGUUCUGAUGAGUCGUGUUACACUUCUUUAUUUUUGAAAAAACAAAAAGCAUGCAGAUUGGGACAUAGUUUUUGAUCCCUACUACUCAUUUCAAGGAGAUUACUGCAUCAUGCAAAAAAAGAGAGAUGAGAUUACUACAUCUUCUGAAUUGUUUAUUGACUAAAGAAGUAAGGUUUACUGCAACUCGAUGAUGGUAAACAAGUGUAGUAUUUGGUGAAUAUAUUGUUCCCACCAGGACGAAAAUCAGUAACCGAGUUAUAAUUGUUCAGAUAAUCAGUUUUUUGCAGUUUUGAUGUAAGUGAAACUACUAAGGUGGUUCAUUCAGAUGUAAUAAUUGUUUAUCAAAGUUGUACAAUCAAGAUAUGAUAAUGUUCGUACUCAA